Long non-coding RNA from Anguilla rostrata (American eel), 3330 nucleotides. RefSeq lists it as uncharacterized. Lineage: Eukaryota; Metazoa; Chordata; Actinopteri; Anguilliformes; Anguillidae. The record is from RefSeq and is a predicted model, not a curated record. The transcript is spliced from 3 exons.
AUUGGCUCAUGGCACAGGCGCCCAUCGGGAACCACCUAGGGGUCCUGGUAUGUACAACAGUUUAGAAUGUGCAAUGUAGCGAACUGUACACGUAUUUCUGACCGUGUUGUUUUACGUAUAUUUUCAGCCCCACGUCUCAGUGAAUGAGUUCACACAACAUCCGUGCUUUCAACAAGGAGAUCUUUCACAGGGGGAAGAGAGAAGAAAUUGGCAGAUGGCUUUUCAGAGCCUACCACGUCAGUGCAGAACGGGCGGCGGUUUGGCGGGUUUGGGCUGGGAGAGGCGACGCCAACGCCGGCGGCACGGAGCGGCCCGCGAGCUGGCGACUCACGGCGCGGUCCCGCGUUGGACGGCGGCCAGGAAACGUUCUCACGCAAUCAAGGGAACGUCCUUCAUUGCAGCGUCGAGGCCGCUAAUUACCCGACGCGCGUCCCGUCCGUUUCCCCCGAACGGGUCCGUUUAGGCAAGGGGGAGUCUUAAAAAAGGGAAGCCGUUGCCAUUGACACCUGCGCUCAAAGCAGCCAAUUAGCGUGAGGUUUGAUUGCUCGCGCAGCUUAAGUGUAAUUAAUCAGAACUCCAGCGCGGCAGAACUAAUCAAUAAAGUUUGAAAUGCCGGGGAGAGCUGAGCACGGAUGUGAUCUAGACGGUGUGCCGCACACAAGCCUGGCAGCCAGUUCCCUUUCAGUUCAGUCAACCCAGGAAAUUCAGUCCAUGAAUUGGAAAUAAUCCUCAUACUUUUCUAUGAGGAUUUUUUUUUUCAAUGAAUACAGCUGAAUUUCAAUUCACCUGAAUUCACCUUCUGAAUUGAAAUGGUUUCCCCCCCCCCCAAGUCCUUGUAGACUAAUCCAUUCAUCUGCCUCCCUUUGCCAAAGUCCAGAUGAGUCAUGGAAAUGUUCUUAUUUAUUUCUGUGGCAGGAGUGUGCGAACACAAUCCCACCUGUCUAAACCCUCUCCGGGAGACACGGUCAGGGGGUACUGACCUUGAUCAGGUCUUCAUACCAGUCCACGGGUGUUGAGUGGGGAGGGGGCAAAGGGUCAUGACCCUUCGAUAAUUACACUGGGGGGCACUUCCUCCUGGAUAUUCUCGACUGUUUUUGGUGAAAUAUGUACUUAUUUAUGUCGAUGUAAUGCUGAAUAGCUUAUGGACGGUGAUGGUAAAUCACUGUCACAUAUAUGAGAGCACCCAAUUAUAGCUAUCUGUGCCUGUCAACACUGUCUUAGAUCAAAUCUGGCUGGCCUAACGUAAGUCUAAACACAUUCGUCGACUUAAGUGAAUCCAGAAUGAACAGACAUUCACCAUUUUUGAGGUGGGCAAGCACUUUUUUUAUGAACUUCCAGAUUUCUUGCCGCAAGCUAGCUAAUUACUUGCAAAUGUAUGGUCAGUGAGGAAAAAAAAGCCUGUGUUGCCUAACAGUGUUUAAAACCACCAUCAUUAGCUGCUAACUGUUUUGUGUUUUAUUUGUGUAAUUCAUAUCCUGUUUGCAUUCUGGAGUGAAUGUCUUGUAUUAUGGGUUAAUGGUAUGUUUAGCUAGCGUUAGCACAGAUAUGAGUCUGUUGUGUUGGGUUUGUUUGUUAGCUAGCUAGCUAUCUACUUUGUGAGCAAGGGUAGGCUGCUUCAUUCAAUGCAGUUCUCUGGUAAUCCAGUCAGUGAAUCGGCUGUCGCAGCAGAAGCAGCUCUCACUCCGGUUUUAUGAUGAAAAAAUGCCACGUACACAGCAAAUCAUGUAACUGUAAAAAUUAUUUGUUGAUCCCUGCCUGUUUUGAUGCCAAAUCAAGGCCUGUGUAAUCAGUCCAAAGGCUGCACCCGCAUCAGAUCACCUGGAUCAAUUACAUAGCUUAAAUACUUUAUCUGUUUAUUUUCUGGCAAAAUUAGUAAGACACUCCUACAGAUCCCUGAAAAUUUUCAGUGAAACAGUUACUAACCAAAAUGUACAGUCAUGUGAAAAGAAUUUUGUUCUGAAUUGAAGAUUAUAUACGUUUUUGUGAAAUUGUGUGUAUAAAAUAUGCUAGAAUCAUGUUGGUGUCUAACGGAUAUUUGUAAAGUGCUUAAAAUAUUUGGCUGGUGAGUGUGCGUGCGUGUGUGCAUGCGUCACGAGCCACGCACUGGAACCCGUGUGUAAGCAGGAUGGGCUGCCCUGUGACAGUGUCCGUGUCCCACAAGGCCCCGGGGUCACAGGCAAGGCUACAGACGUGUAAACGCAGAACACAAAGAGAGCACGCCGCUCGUCAGAGCCCUCCGGCACAUGAUAGACGGCUAUUUUUGGGGUCCUGCACGCUGCCCCCCACAGCCCUUUGUUUGGCCUCCAGGACGUGCAGACUUCAAAAGCGGCACAAACAAAACCGCGAAACCGUGCCAACAGGACCGCUACCGCCACCUCCGCCUCCCCUGAGUCGCGCCGUCUCCCGGCAACCGGGAGGAAGUGCGUCAGCCGCGGCGACAGGCAGCGCAAGUGCGCAAACGUGGGACAGAGAGCAGCCUCAGCUGGGACGGUGACCGUCUUCGCCCUUGAACCCCGGGGACAGGGCGGAGUCUGCGAAAGCCUCUACCCGCCACACGCACCUUUAACUCUCACCCCCCACUCACCCCCCACUCACCCCCUACCCCCCCUCCCCAUUCCAUGAGAGAGGAAACAACACGACAAAGAUCCCACAAUUCCACGGGAGUGUGUGUUUGGUUCUAGCGACUGGACGGUAGAUAUUCGAGGGAAAGAACACGAGAGGGCGAAACACAAACACUAACAGGAUCUGACCGAAAGCAGAGACUAUCAUUAUCCCUUAGCCACUCAUCCUGUGAGCCUGAUGAUAUGGCGGCUGUGGCAGAUGCACUUUCCCUGUUAUUCUCCCGGCCCCACAGUGUGCCUGCACAUAAGCAGGAGGUAUAAUCUGCGUGGGCCUAGAUAACUGGAGAGGCGCAUCCAGUACAAAGCGUAGUGUGUGGGGCAGUGGUGCGUCUAAAACCCUCCCUCAGCAGUUGUUCUGUCCUGGAGACGGCGUGAGCACGCUCAGUAGGCUUCUAAAUGGACACAGCGGGUCUUCCUCAGAAGUCAGUUCUUUAUGCCCUGCCAAAACAGGUAUUAAGUUACAGUAUUUGAAAAUGAAGCUGAAGAAAAGAAUUCAGUCUGCAGUGGAUGGAGGCGCAGCGCUCACGCUCUAAUAGUGUGUGCCAAAUCGGGUGUUUUAGCAGCGUAGGCAUAAAUAAAUAUUUCCUGCACAAUCCCUUGCAUUCCCUACCCACAAUGAUUCCCUAGCUCGUCACUGAACGCCCUGUUCUUUUUCCUAGUUCCCAGUUUAUAUAAAAAUAAAAGGUAAAUAAAUAAAGAAAUAUAUAAU